AGCACCUCAAGUGGUCAGGAUGAUUAUUGGGCCUAAAGCAUCCGUAGCUCGUUUUGUAAGUUUUCGGUUAAAUCCAUGCGCUUAACGUAUGGGCUGCCGGGAAUACUGCAUAACUAGGAAGUGGGAGAGGUAGACGGUACUCGGUAGGAAGGGGUAAAAUCCUUUGAUCUAUUGAUGACCACCUGUGGCGAAGGCGGUCUACCAGAACACGUUCGACGGUGAGGGAUGAAAGCUGGGGGAGCAACC
This 246-nucleotide ribosomal RNA is filed under the name uncultured crenarchaeote. RNAcentral's name for it is "partial 16S ribosomal RNA". It matches the Rfam family "Archaeal small subunit ribosomal RNA", at positions 478 to 724 of the family's 1478-position model. Lineage: Archaea; Thermoproteati; Thermoproteota. The record is from RNAcentral.